This 2630-nucleotide ribosomal RNA is filed under the name Salmonella enterica subsp. enterica serovar Enteritidis. Its description in RNAcentral is "partial 23S ribosomal RNA". It matches the Rfam family "Bacterial large subunit ribosomal RNA". Lineage: Bacteria; Pseudomonadati; Pseudomonadota; Gammaproteobacteria; Enterobacterales; Enterobacteriaceae. The record is from RNAcentral.
AAUCCAUAGGUUAAUGAGGCGAACCGGGGGAACUGAAACAUCUAAGUACCCCGAGGAAAAGAAAUCAACCGAGAUUCCCCCAGUAGCGGCGAGCGAACGGGGAGGAGCCCAGAGCCUGAAUCAGCAUGUGUGUUAGUGGAAGCGUCUGGAAAGGCGCGCGAUACAGGGUGACAGCCCCGUACACAAAAGCGCAUGUGCUGUGAGCUCGAUGAGUAGGGCGGGACACGUGGUAUCCUGUCUGAAUAUGGGGGGACCAUCCUCCAAGGCUAAAUACUCCUGACUGACCGAUAGUGAACCAGUACCGUGAGGGAAAGGCGAAAAGAACCCCGGCGAGGGGAGUGAAAAAGAACCUGAAACCGUGUACGUACAAGCAGUGGGAGCACCCUUUGGGUGUGACUGCGUACCUUUUGUAUAAUGGGUCAGCGACUUAUAUUCUGUAGCAAGGUUAACCGAAUAGGGGAGCCGGAGGGAAACCGAGUCUUAACCGGGCGUUAAGUUGCAGGGUAUAGACCCGAAACCCGGUGAUCUAGCCAUGGGCAGGUUGAAGGUUGGGUAACACUAACUGGAGGACCGAACCGACUAAUGUUGAAAAAUUAGCGGAUGACCUGUGGCUGGGGGUGAAAGGCCAAUCAAACCGGGAGAUAGCUGGUUCUCCCCGAAAGCUAUUUAGGUAGCGCCUCGUGAAUUCAUCUCCGGGGGUAGAGCACUGUUUCGGCUAGGGGGCCAUCCCGGCUUACCAACCCGAUGCAAACUGCGAAUACCGGAGAAUGUUAUCACGGGAGACACACGGCGGGUGCUAACGUCCGUCGUGAAGAGGGAAACAACCCAGACCGCCAGCUAAGGUCCCAAAGUCAUGGUUAAGUGGGAAACGAUGUGGGAAGGCCCAGACAGCCAGGAUGUUGGCUUAGAAGCAGCCAUCAUUUAAAGAAAGCGUAAUAGCUCACUGGUCGAGUCGGCCUGCGCGGAAGAUGUAACGGGGCUAAACCAUGCACCGAAGCUGCGGCAGCGACGCUUAUGCGUUGUUGGGUAGGGGAGCGUUCUGUAAGCCUGCGAAGGUGGCCUGUGAGGGUUGCUGGAGGUAUCAGAAGUGCGAAUGCUGACAUAAGUAACGAUAAAGCGGGUGAAAAGCCCGCUCGCCGGAAGACCAAGGGUUCCUGUCCAACGUUAAUCGGGGCAGGGUGAGUCGACCCCUAAGGCGAGGCCGAAAGGCGUAGUCGAUGGGAAACGGGUUAAUAUUCCCGUACUUGGUGUUACUGCGAAGGGGGGACGGAGAAGGCUAUGUUGGCCGGGCGACGGUUGUCCCGGUUUAAGCGUGUAGGUGUGUGUUCCAGGUAAAUCCGGUUCACUUUAACACUGAGGCGUGACGACGAGGCACUACGGUGCUGAAGCAACAAAUGCCCUGCUUCCAGGAAAAGCCUCUAAGCAUCAGGUAACAUCAAAUCGUACCCCAAACCGACACAGGUGGUCAGGUAGAGAAUACCAAGGCGCUUGAGAGAACUCGGGUGAAGGAACUAGGCAAAAUGGUGCCGUAACUUCGGGAGAAGGCACGCUGACACGUAGGUGAAGUGAUUUACUCAUGGAGCUGAAGUCAGUCGAAGAUACCAGCUGGCUGCAACUGUUUAUUAAAAACACAGCACUGUGCAAACACGAAAGUGGACGUAUACGGUGUGACGCCUGCCCGGUGCCGGAAGGUUAAUUGAUGGGGUCAGCGCAAGCGAAGCUCCUGAUCGAAGCCCCGGUAAACGGCGGCCGUAACUAUAACGGUCCUAAGGUAGCGAAAUUCCUUGUCGGGUAAGUUCCGACCUGCACGAAUGGCGUAAUGAUGGCCAGGCUGUCUCCACCCGAGACUCAGUGAAAUUGAACUCGCUGUGAAGAUGCAGUGUACCCGCGGCAAGACGGAAAGACCCCGUGAACCUUUACUAUAGCUUGACACUGAACAUUGAGCCUUGAUGUGUAGGAUAGGUGGGAGGCUUUGAAGUGUGGACGCCAGUCUGCAUGGAGCCGACCUUGAAAUACCACCCUUUAAUGUUUGAUGUUCUAACGUGGACCCGUUACCCGGGUUGCGGACAGUGUCUGGUGGGUAGUUUGACUGGGGCGGUCUCCUCCUAAAGAGUAACGGAGGAGCACGAAGGUUGGCUAAUCCUGGUCGGACAUCAGGAGGUUAGUGCAAUGGCAUAAGCCAGCUUGACUGCGAGCGUGACGGCGCGAGCAGGUGCGAAAGCAGGUCAUAGUGAUCCGGUGGUUCUGAAUGGAAGGGCCAUCGCUCAACGGAUAAAAGGUACUCCGGGGAUAACAGGCUGAUACCGCCCAAGAGUUCAUAUCGACGGCGGUGUUUGGCACCUCGAUGUCGGCUCAUCACAUCCUGGGGCUGAAGUAGGUCCCAAGGGUAUGGCUGUUCGCCAUUUAAAGUGGUACGCGAGCUGGGUUUAGAACGUCGUGAGACAGUUCGGUCCCUAUCUGCCGUGGGCGCUGGAGAACUGAGGGGGGCUGCUCCUAGUACGAGAGGACCGGAGUGGACGCAUCACUGGUGUUCGGGUUGUCAUGCCAAUGGCACUGCCCGGUAGCUAAAUGCGGAAGAGAUAAGUGCUGAAAGCAUCUAAGCACGAAACUUGCCCCGAGAUGAGUUCUCC